Molecule: long non-coding RNA, 285 nt
Filed under: Hordeum vulgare
Lineage: Eukaryota; Viridiplantae; Streptophyta; Magnoliopsida; Poales; Poaceae
Description: long non-coding RNA (HVUL_LNC006732)
Source: RNAcentral
GAUACUAUGCACUAUGAAGGUAGUAUCAUAUACAAUAGUAACAUACGCAUGAUAUUACUAUAUGUUACUCCCCGCUAUGAGCAGCCUAAUAGUGAUGCCUAAAAUCAUUGUGGUGCGGCACCGUCCACGCCGCCAUGUCGCCAUAUAUCAAGGAGGUGCUGCCCUUCCCCAAGUGAAGCCGCCGCAUCAAAAUCGGAUGCUGCAUCAAGUAGGAGCCCCCUUCGUCGCGCAUCAAGGAGGAGGUGAAGGAGGAUCCACAAUCACCAUGGAAAUAGCUCAACCAUU